UCUCCGUUGGUGAACCAGCGGAGGGAUCAUUACCGAGUUUACAACUCCCAAACCCCUGUGAACAUACCUUAAUGUUGCCUCGGCGGAUCAGCCCGCGCCCCGUAAAACGGGACGGCCCGCCAGAGGACCCAAACUCUAAUGAUUCUUAUUGUAACUUCUGAGUAAAACAAACAAAUAAAUCAAAACUUUCAACAACGGAUCUCUUGGUUCUG
This 212-nucleotide unclassified non-coding RNA is filed under the name plant metagenome. RNAcentral's name for it is "partial contains small subunit ribosomal RNA, internal transcribed spacer 1, and 5.8S ribosomal RNA". The record is from RNAcentral.